GGUUUUUUGUACUGUAGUUUCAAACUGAAAUUAUUCUGAUAUAUUUUAUAUCUGUAUGACUGUAUGGUUGAAAGGGGAUUUCUUAUUCCUGUGAAAAACGACAUUGUUAAAGCACUAGGAACAUUAGCAGAUAAGCACUUUCAGAGUUUUCCACUUGUGAUCAGUACAGAUCUGGUUAUCUAGUAUGUGAAGUGAAUUUGGUGCUUUUAACCCUAUAGCAGAAAACUUUUAUUGUCAUUGAUAUGUUAGUUUCUUGUGAGCCUUAAAUUAUUGAAUAUUGUAGAUAUACUUCUUUAUAAAUAUUUUUAUUAAUUACCUUACCGUUUCAGAAUUUCUAAAUAAUUCAGUCCUGUGCUUACUGUCCCCACUCAAAAAAAUGUAUGUGCAGCUUUUUCUUUUUUUUUUUUUUUUGGUAGCUUUACAGUUUUAUACCUUUCUUAUAUUUUUGAGACCGAAAGAAAAAAAUUGUCUGCUGUUACUGGUUUUGAUCCAAGUGCACAACAGAUCAAAAAAAAAAUAAUAAUAAUAAUGAGGGAAUGGAUAGAUGUAACAAGGAAGUGGAAUGAGUGCAAUAUCUGCAAAACUAUUUUCGUCGUACACUCCAGAUUAUUUUGGCAUGUGUAUCGGUCACCUUUAUGUAUCCAUACCAUUUGUGUACACAGUUCACUCUUUUUAAUUAUCAUAGACUGGAAAUGGACGGCACUUAAAGAGUCUAACGUGGCAUGUUGUGCUGCUUCAAUAACCAUUGCGUGGCUUAUAUCUUGGACUCAGACGGAAAGCAUCACCUUUCAUCAAAACACAUCCUCAUUUUCUUUUAUUUCCAAACGAAAUCUUUUCAGUGCUGUGGAUUUUCCAGUUCAGGUGUUGUUGAGGGACGAGUGACAGGUUUUCUUCAUCCUGAUAAUACAGCGCUGUACAGCCUGCUCGUGAAGACUGACACAAAAGUUGCUGCUUUAAAUCAAAGAGCUGUGUUACCGUUUUUUUCUCGCAAAGAACGUCUCUGUUUUCCCCUCAAACUUCUGUUUUCUUGCUGAAGGAUGCUUCACGCCUUUACCCCGUACAGUGGCACAGCGAGACUAGCAGAAAGAGAAGUCUUGGUUGUCGACACUCAAGAGCAACCUGGAGCUCAUGCAGUAGCACUGUUCUCCAGAUGGCUUUCCACGGCACCGUCUCCCGUAACACACCAGUGAGCCACGAGACUGAGACAGAAAUUCCAGUGUGGGGAGGGUGUGAGUCAUGAGAUGAUACUGACCGUUAGGAAGACACUGCUGCAGAGACUGAAACCAAACCCAGUUAUUCCUUGUUCUCAAGUCGUCUUGGGUUAGAAGCUGACGAAAAAAAUAACUGUGAUGUCUCCAUCAAGCAUGCGUUCUCAAUGAGCUGGAUAUCUUCAUUCAAAUUGUUGAAAAUCUGUUCUGCUUGGAGGUUUCUCUCGUAGAGGAAUUGUUCAGCACCACAACAGGAGUGUGCAGGGGGCCCAUGAAAGUUUAAAUGCUUUGAAUUCACUGCCAGGCACAAGAAGACUUUACUACUUGAGCUAAUGUUUGGAAAUAAAUGAGUUCUUGUCAUAGAUUGGGCAUCUUCUACCAUGGUUCUUACAUAUCAAAAUUUCUCACCAUU
Calidris pugnax (ruff) is the source of this 1620-nucleotide long non-coding RNA. RefSeq lists it as uncharacterized. The transcript is spliced from 3 exons. The record is from RefSeq and is a predicted model, not a curated record. NCBI's taxonomy places the organism in Eukaryota, Metazoa, Chordata, Aves, Charadriiformes, Scolopacidae.